RNAcentral lists this ribosomal RNA (427 nucleotides) under Blastocystis sp. RNAcentral describes it as "SSU rRNA". It matches the Rfam family "Eukaryotic small subunit ribosomal RNA", at positions 102 to 547 of the family's 1831-position model. Lineage: Eukaryota; Bigyra; Opalinata; Blastocystidae. The record is from RNAcentral.
UAUAUCAGUUAUAGUUUAUUUGGUGAAGUGUACUACUUGGAUAACCGUAGUAAUUCUAGGGCUAAUACAUGAGAAAGUCCUCUGGUGAGGUGUGUUUAUUAGAAUGAAAACCAUAUGCUUCGGCAUGAUAGUGAGUAAUAGUAACCUAUCGUAUCGCAUGCUUAAUGUAGCGAUGAGUCUUUCAAGUUUCUGCCCUAUCAGCUUUCGAUGGUAGUAUAUGGGCCUACCAUGGCAGUAACGGGUAACGAAGAAUUUGGGUUCGAUUUCGGAGAGGGAGCCUGAGAGAUGGCUACCACAUCCAAGGAAGGCAGCAGGCGCGUAAAUUACCCAAUCCUGACACAGGGAGGUAGUGGCAAUAAAUCACAAUGCGGGACUAUCAGUCUUGCAAUUGGAUUGAGAACAAUGUNCAACUCUUAUCGAUAAGCCA